This 3726-nucleotide long non-coding RNA is filed under the name Struthio camelus australis. RNAcentral's name for it is "lncRNA (ENSSCUG00000016761.1)". Lineage: Eukaryota; Metazoa; Chordata; Aves; Struthioniformes; Struthionidae. The record is from RNAcentral.
CAAGGAGGUUACUGCUAGAUGUCUUAUAAGCCUCUGUGGAAAUUCUUUCAAAGUAGUAAGAGAUUUGAAAAACCAAACAUAUCAAAUGUAAAUAUUCAUAUGCCCUCUCUCAGCAGAGCACCUUGUCAGAAGACUUGUCGGUGACUGCUUUACUUUUGACCUGAACUGCCUGCUGCCAGACAGGUACAUCCAUAUCACCUGGAAGAAAGAUGAGCAGCGAGUGGCCAGGAUGAGAGGGCAGAGAAUAAACGUUUCUGUGAACUACCGCAACAGAGCCCGUGCGUUCCCGAACGGCAGCCUGACUCUGUGCCCCAUGCAAUGGGAGGACAAGGGCAAGUAUGUGGCGGAAAUAUUUGAUCAGGAUGGUGUGCAUUUGCAACAUGAAAUUAUUAACCUGGAACUGAACAAAAUGGAAACGUUUAAAGAAACCACAGAAUUUAUUGGUGGAUCCAUGUUCUUGAGCUUAACAGAGAUGAAGUUGAGACACUUCCAGGCAGUCUGGAAAAAAGAAAACACAGAAAUCGCUCGGAAAAAUGGCUUUCAUUUUUGGUACCAUGAGGACUACGUUAAGAGGUCUGAGAUCGUGUCUGAUUACAGUCUCAGACUAGACAGGAUUCAGGAAAGUGACCAUAGCAAUUAUUCUAUAGAAGUGAGUGACAGAGAUGGGAGAACAUUAUAUAAAAGCACCAUUCGUGUGAAAGUUGAGCAAAAGGAGACAUCCAGAAGAAAUUAUGUUCAAUUACUGUUCUACAGUCUCAUAACAUCACAGGCAGUUGUAAUUAUUAUUAUCUUGGUUGGGCUGAUAUGGCAUUUUAAGAAGUACAAAGACAAGUCAGUGUGGAUAAGAGUGUCAAGCUUUCGGCAUGUGAGUUCAAGCCUAACAGAGAGAGAUAAUCCUGAGAAACUUGAAGAAAUGGAUAAAAACAGUCCUUGUUCACAAAAUGAUGAAAACUCUAGUGUGCAGGGACUAGACGGUACAAACUCCACGGAGCAAAGAAGUGAAGGUUUACUGAGCAGCGACAAAGAGGCUAACCCAGCAAUAGCUGAAAGCUCCUACGCUCAGCAGACUACAUAUUUUCUUGCGUCCACAUUUCAAGGUAAUCAGAAGCAAAAGCAAAUGACCAAGGAGAAAGCUAAACUAGAGUAAAAUAUCAAAUAGGAAGGAAGAUGAUCCUCAACAGAAUUUCCCAUUGAAUUGUACUAUGGAUUGUAAUCGACCUUCAAGCUGGGGGGUUGCAGGGAGGGAAGUGCUACUGCCCAUGCAGGGCUGCUGCACUCAGUGCCUGGCCUGUGCUUAGGGAAGCAUGUUUGGUCAGUGCUCCCCCAUGCCGUAGUCAAGGACUGCACUGCCAGUGGAGCCAGAGCCCAGGCCCUCCUCUGCCUCUUGGGGUGCAGAGCUGGAGCUGGCCUCAUCUGAAAGAUGCAUCUGCCAAGAUUGCUGGCAGGUGCCAGAGCAGGCAGGAGUGAGCUGUCGGCCAGAGCCCUGCUCCCACCAGCUGAGUGCAGUAGAAAGGGAGUGGGUGAGGAAAAGCCCCAUUCCUGUGUUGCCCCCUCAGAGCAUGAGUGGGAUGUGCCAGGUUCCAGUGAAUUGUUGCCAGGUGCAAGAAACUCCUGAGAUGACCCCCUGACAUUGCAAACAGAAAUAUUAACUGCUGCUGAGGCCAUGCAGGGCUGUGAGGGGAGACAUGCCUUGGGAAGGUAGUGAGGCCCUGGUGCCCCCCCCACCGGCGUUGUUCCCUGGGGGCCGUGGAGAACUAGGGAGCGGUGAGCAGAGCUGACUGCGUGCAGGGGCUGUUCCCACCAGCCCAUGUCAGUGGUGGGAGCUGAGGGAUGUCCUGUGCUUGCAGGGUCUGUGGACAGGCCAAGCCCAGGAGGCUGCAUGCUGUGCCUCAGCCUUGCUGUAACCACAGGCACCUGCUCCUGCUUUGUGUGAGCGAGAGGCAGGAAGGAGUGGCAGAUAUAAAUAGAGAUGGUGCUGUGAGGGCUUGCUCCCAUCAGUGCUGUUCUGCAGGGCUGUACUUGCCCAGGGGUCUGUCACCUCCUUCAUUUCUAUAUAUCUGCUGAGGGCCUGGCUGGGGGUGAAGCGGUCCUGUGGGCAAGUGAAGCUGCAGGGGCACAUAUAGCGCAAGUGAUAGCUCAGGGAGGCUCCAGUGUCUCUGCUGGCAGUUGGUCAGCUGCCUCUAGCUCACCAGCUUCUUAGGUGUGGGGCUGAUGUGGACCCUCUCCCUCUAUGCUUCCCUGCUCCUGGAGGGUAGGAGGGAGAGGGAGGCCCUUUUCCUCUUUGACCACUUGGUGCCAGCCUUUGCCAGCUUCUGGCCCUGUCUGUGUCACCCGUCUGUACCAUAAUCUUUGUCCAGUCAGUGGUGUUAAGGAGAUUACUACUCAGCAGACUUUUCCUUCCAGAUGGAGAAAGACUCAAAUUGCCAGACCUCAAUAGUAUGAAAGCUGGAGAGCCUCCUGCUUCAGUUGGUGAAGUGUGUGUUGCCUCAGACUUUGAGAACAGCCCUCCAGGAUCUGAGGACAGCAUUCUUCCAGAAUUUGAUCACCCUCUUCCCCCAAUGUCUGAUGGGUGCCUUUCUCCAGAAUUUGAUCACUGCAGUCCUCCAGGGUCUGAGGAUUUGAAGGAAGAUGACUAUGUUGCUAUGCAUGAUAUAGUCUUUGUCUCUGCAGGAGCUGGAAAGGCACGGAAAUGGAGUGAAGAUGAGUUUACCUCGUAUGCUUCUGUCAAGUAGAAUGCAAAGGGACUUCCAGACGAUGAGUCUGGAGACUCAGUCUUCAGUUCUUCCCAUUCGAUUUGCCAGGAAAGACAUCUGCAGCAUUGAACUGAAAUUUGGACUCUCUCUUUCUCUCUUAGCAGGUUUUGAGCCAACCUUGAAAUUCUGCUGUUAGUUUCUCAUUUGGGUAAAUCUGAUUCUUUGUUCACUUUGAAGAUUUGGCUGGAAGCCUGAAGGGAAAUCUCUCUGUGGAUCAGUUUGUUUUCCACAGCGGGUGCCUAUCUCUUCCCUUUGUUUUGCUGAAGGUCUUCCAGGAUGACCCAUUAGGAGCCCCUUGGAAAGCAGGGGUGGGGGGGAAGGAAUUAUCCAGAGCCUCUCUUAUUUGCUUCCACUAGGAGGUGUCAUUGUAGAAAAGAGAAGGGCCUCGUGGAUUUCUGGAGGCCAGAUCAGGGCCCUGACCUCCAUCCUUGUCUCCUCCAGUGUGGAGGAUGCACCUGAGUGAAUGGUCAGGGGAAUAGCGCCAACACCACAGCAUCUCUGUGGACAUGGGCAUUUUAACCCUUUGUCUAAUACCUCAUGUCAAGAAAGCUGCAACUGAACUUGGUAGAUUUAGCAUAAAUUUCCCUCUGCUGUUUGGUUAGAAUAAUGUGCCACUUAGGUGGAAGUCAGCUGAAACUAUAUUAUGAGAAGGGAAUGGCACUGAAGAACAUGCAGCAGGUUUUACUUAGGGAUCUGCUAUUUUAGAAGAGGAAAAGGAAAAGGAAAGGAAAGAAACUAGAGCAUUGCUAGCAAAUGGGUUUAGCCGUAUAUGUAAUUGCCUUUAAUGAAUAGCCUUGGUAAUUAGAUGCAUUUUCUGCAAUGCCUGUAUUAAACUUAGUUAUCUUAACUGGUGUGUAAUUGUCUUCAUAGAUUGCUUUUAAAUCUUACAGAUUGCUUCUUUUAGGUUUGAUGAGCUAAUUUUUCGUAUAGAAUGUUGAAUAAAAGUAUUUUUUCUUAUUACUGAAAAGGUAUU